GGAAGCACAACCAGCGCUGGUGGCUGGCCCGGUCUUCAAAACCGGAGAAGGUGAUGAGAAAUUGCCUUGGCAGGUUCGAUUCCUGUGUGCUUCCGCCA
This 98-nucleotide transfer RNA is filed under the name Geobacteraceae bacterium GWC2_48_7. Its description in RNAcentral is "tRNA-Sec". It matches the Rfam family "Selenocysteine transfer RNA". Lineage: Bacteria; Pseudomonadati; Thermodesulfobacteriota; Desulfuromonadia; Geobacterales; Geobacteraceae. The record is from RNAcentral.